This 1761-nucleotide long non-coding RNA is filed under the name Homo sapiens (human). Its description in RNAcentral is "HSALNT0332858". The record is from RNAcentral. Lineage: Eukaryota; Metazoa; Chordata; Mammalia; Primates; Hominidae.
GCCCUAGUAGUCGGUGGCUGGUCGGUGACUGGGACCAGACCGUCGCCUCCUCCCUUUUACAGCUUUAAGUCUGUGACCCGAGGCCUCUCUGUAUAUUCCCGUGGGGUUGGGCCUAGUUGUCCUGGGAGAAACUAGAUGGAUGAGGAGUAUUUCCGAGACAGGUCCCAGGGCCAGCGCAGCCUUUUCUGUUGCAGAACCGCGACUGUUGUUUUGGGAUCCAGGCCGGAGGGUUUGUUGCUUGUGUUCAUUCCAGUUAACCAUUAGUACUCGAGAAGGUGGUACAGAACGCAUCUAUCCCCUUAGAAGAAAAGAAAUUAAAAGCCAAACUAAACUGGGAUAUAUAUUAAUAUAGGAAACUACCACUGAGACAUAGGAAAGUGUAUUAAAAUAUAACUAGUGAGGUGCUAUGUAUAAUUCAGAGGAAGGGGAAAUUAUGCAUGGGCCAGACUACUAACAAAAGGCUCCAAAGCCUGGGAUACGCUGAGGGCCUUUCCAUAACAGAAAAUGAAAAGGAACCUAAAUUUGAGACUAGAUUUGAGGAAAGGCACAGUUGCGCUGGAGUAGAAAGCGUCUGUCUACCGCAGUGGAAAGUAAGUUUUCGUAAAUGCAGACUAGCUCCAGGGUGAGGACAGAAUCUAGCUUUUAAAUCAGUAUAAUCUCUCUUCUUUUACAUUUGAAAAUCUCUGCAGCGAUAUGUUAUUGUAUCCCCAGCACCAUACAAAGGACAUACAAGGGCCAAAUACUGUGGGAAUAUUUAUUAAUGAUAUUAAUGAUGAUGCUGUCCGGGCCAAAGGAAAACUUCCGCUUCACCUUCUGAAGUUUCGCUGAAAGUCACUGACAGGAGGCAGUUAAUAGGAGAAAAGACAUAGACAUUGAUUUGACCAUCGUUUUAUGUGACACGGGAGCCUUCAGAAUGAAGACCCAAAGAUAACAAGGGAAAUCGUGUAUUUGUAUGCUUAGGUUCAACAAAGCAUGGACAGCCGUAUAAAAAAAUGACUGGACAAGGCCGGGCGCGGUGGCUCACGCCUGUAAUCUCAGCACUUUGGGAGGCUGAGGCGGGCGGAUCACAAGGUCAGGAGAUCGAGACCAUCCUGGCUAACACAGUGAAACCCCGUCUCUACUAAAAAUACUAAAAAUUAGCCAGGCGUGGUGGCGGGCGCCUGUAGUCCCAGCUACUCAGGAGGCUGAGGCAGGAGAAUGGCGUGAACCCGGGAGGCGGAGCUUGCAGUGAGCCGAGAUUGCGUCACCGCACUCCAGCCUGGGCGACAGAGCGAGACUCCGUCUCAAAAAAAAUGACUGGACAAAAAACACUCUGAUGCAAACAGGCAAGAAACCCAGCAAGGCCUAUCUGGAUUCUCCUUGGCCUGUCUGCAGCAUUCAUUCCUUCUGGGUAUGGAACAGGACCCUCUGGAAUGGGGGCUGUGGCCUACAACAGUUAAACAAGUGAACUAAAGGGCUCCCAAAAUCUCUCCUGCAGCAUUUUCCUUGAGAAGGAGGAAGGUUUGCAUCUCUGUGAGAAGAAACAUCAGAAGCAGUUGAAAGACCAGGAUGUGGGUCCUCUGGGGCUGAGGAGGCAUUCUGAAUCAACUGUGUGUUCUACACCUGUGUUUUAACUGUGACCUGUCACAUGAGGACAAGUGUGGAAUUUCCCACUUUUGUGCCAUGAGCUGUGAUUGGUUGAUUGAUUUUGAGGCGGAGUUUCACUCUUGUUGCCCAGGCUGAAGUGCAGUGGCACAACCUCUGCUCACUGCAACCGCUGCC